AAAAAAAAAUUUCAUUGCUUGGGGCCAGGGAUUUAGCUCAGUGGGGUCACGCCUGCCUCAUAAGCGAAAGGUCCUGAGUUUGAUCCUCGGUCCAAAAAAAAAAAAAAAAUUCAUUGCUCGUUCUCUUAUUGAGUUUUAGGAGUUCUUUCCAUAUUCUGGCCAUGUCCUUUGUGAGAUAGAAGCUAUACAAUUAUUUUCUCCCUCUAUGUGACUAGUCUUUUUAUUCUCUUAAGGGUGUCUUUCAGAGGGCGAAGCUUUUAGUUUUGAUGAAGUCAAGUUCCUAAUUCUUUCUUCUAUCAAUCUUUGAUGUUUCUGAGACUCAUUGCCCUGUGAGAGGUCACAAAGGUUUUCUCCCGUGUUUUCUUCUAAUGAUUGUAGAUGUUGGCACUGGGGGUGAUGUUGGGUCCACUCUGUGUUUGUACCCUUGUGAGGCUGAGGCUGAAGAGAAUGAUUUGUCCCAGCACCGUUCCCUGAAACGAAGGUGUUUCCUCCAUGGAUCUGUGUCUUCACCUCCAUCAAGUACUCCAUUUUCCAAGUAGAGAUGGGAACCUGGAGGACAAGGAUGGCGGGGCUUCUGGAAGGUCUGAGGCACCCAUCCAGGGUGUAUAUCCCCACCCAGAGUUGGCAGAGGGCAGCUGGCCUGUCAGCAGCUCCAGGUGUGAGCAGGGUUGGGGAACCCCUGCCCCCCAAUGACUGCACCUGUGUUCUCCAGCUGCACAAGUGGAGUGCUCAGGGCGGGUCCCUACCUCCUGAAGGCCUUGUCCACCUGGCUCUUGUUCUGGAGGCUUCCCUGUCAGGGAGUUGGGGUGGGAACUGCGGCCCUGGACCCCCUUGCCAGCCCUGGCUCACAAAUCUUGAGUGUUGGCCUAAGAGAGGUUUCCAAUAAUGUUAGACAUUUACAUGGCUUCCAGAAACUGAGUAAAUGUUUACAUUUCAGACUAAGUCACUGAUAAAUAUUCCUAAAAAGAGUCUAAAGGAAUAAACAUUUUUGUGGAUAUUUGUGCCUGUUUUUAAAUUGAGAUGUAAUUUCCAAUAGGAAAAGGCACAAAUCUGGGUAUGCAGCUGCACGACUGUCCCCGUUAGCACUUGCCUCCACCUCCUGGACUGUGCUUGCCCAUCCACUUCUCGUAAGCGGAGCCACAAGGAUGUGCUCUUCCUGACGUAUUGCGCACACUGAAGGAGAGCUGUGUGGGGACCUGCUGUGUGGCUGUGCCACAUUCUCCUCCAUACUGAUGAGCAGGGCUGACCAGGUUUUGGGCUGUCAUAAACAACUCUCCCAUGAGCACUCGUGAACCGGCCUUGUAUGGCUGUAAUACUCAUGCCUGCAGCACAUGCAUGGCCCACUGUGCACAGCAGAGUGGAUGCUCAGCUCUGGCAGGUUCUCUACGGUUUUUGAAGUGACUGGAUCCUUCUGGCCCCAUCAGCACAGGCCACUGUUGCUGGGUUCCACAUCUCCCCAGCAUAUGGUACUGAUGGUUGGUCUAAUUGUAAUCAUUUCAGUAGGUGCUCAGUGGAAACUAAAGAGACUCCUCUGUAUUUUAAAGAUGAUUGUGAGUUGUUUGGAUGACCUCCUCAUUAUCCAAAGAGGUUAAGAAGUAAAGGUAAGAGCUAAGAGAUGUUACCUUACACUUCUGUAACAAAAAUCCCAAUGUGGGUCCUACUGGUCUUCUUAGGAACUUGAAUCAAUGCUUAUGUCCACCCAAGGACUUGAACACAAGUAUUCACAGCAGCUUCAUUCAUAAUGGCAAACAAUGAACACAGGCAAAAGAUCCAUUAGGAGGGCCAUGUCCACUUCUGAGGCUGAAGGGGAGGAUAAUUUCCAUGACUUCUCCAGCCUCCUCAGCUGCCUGUGUUUCUUGACUUGUGACUCCUUUGUCCAUUUCCAAGAUCAACAGUGGCUUGCAGUCCCUUCCUCCUCCUCCAGUGUCCACAUUGGCACAUGACCUUCCUUCAUCUCUGGGUCCAACAGUGAUGUGUGGCCCCGUCCUCCAUCCCCAAGGCCAGCAGAGGCUUGUGGCCACCUUCCGUCUCCAAGGCCAACAGUGAUAGGCUUCAUCUUUUCACUAUUAUGCUACUCUGCUCUUGCCUGCUUUUCUCUUUCAAUUUUAGGGAUCUUGCAAUUACCUUGGACCCACGUGGAUGAUCGAGCCAAAUCACUGCAUCACAAGAAUAGAAUGAAAGGGAAACGAAGGAGGAAGGCUCACGUCUGUGCCUUCGGAGGAGCUCCAGUCUUCACUUUCACCUUGGACGUUGUCUCCUGGCUUCCAGCACAAACUCAUCAGCCUUCCAUCACAGACCCUUUGGCCUCCUCAUAUAAACUGGCACGGGAUACUACACUAAGCUCCAGGCCUUAACUGGAUCCUUCAGAUCUCUAGUGCACAGAUAGUCCUCUUGUGUGCUUCCAACCUGACGCUGUGAGUGGCCAUUGUAAGCCCAUCUUGUAAAUUCUUAUAUAUCUGUAUAUCUUGCAUUAAAUCUGUUUCUCUAGUAAGCACUGAUAUAAGCCCUAUUAUCAUUAAAUCAUGCCUUUCUGUCA
Molecule: non-coding RNA, 2536 nt
Organism: Heterocephalus glaber (naked mole-rat)
Lineage: Eukaryota; Metazoa; Chordata; Mammalia; Rodentia; Bathyergidae
Source: RefSeq, a predicted model, not a curated record